CGGGUUAUUGUGAUCGACGGCGC
This 23-nucleotide non-coding RNA is filed under the name Arabidopsis thaliana (thale cress). The record is from RNAcentral. Lineage: Eukaryota; Viridiplantae; Streptophyta; Magnoliopsida; Brassicales; Brassicaceae.